GACGAACGCUGGCGGCGUGCUUAACACAUGCAAGUCGAACGGAAAGGCCCUGCUUUUGUGGGGUGCUCGAGUGGCGAACGGGUGAGUAACACGUGAGUAACCUGCCCUUGACUUUGGGAUAACUUCAGGAAACUGGGGCUAAUGCCGGAUAGGAGCUCCUGCUGCAUGGUGGGGGUUGGAAAGUUUCGACGGUUGGGGAUGGACUCGCGGCUUAUCAGCUUGUUGGUGGGGUAGUGGCUUACCAAGGCUUUGACGGGUAGCCGGCCUGAGAGGGUGACCGGCCACAUUGGGACUGAGAUACGGCCCAGACUCCUACGGGAGGCAGCAGUGGGGAAUAUUGCACAAUGGGCGGAAGCCUGAUGCAGCAACGCCGCGUGCGGGAUGACGGCCUUCGGGUUGUAAACCGCUUUCGCCUGUGACGAAGCGUGAGUGACGGUAAUGGGUAAAGAAGCACCGGCUAACUACGUG
Molecule: ribosomal RNA, 468 nt
Filed under: uncultured bacterium
Lineage: Bacteria
Description: partial 16S ribosomal RNA
Rfam family: Bacterial small subunit ribosomal RNA
Source: RNAcentral